AAUGAACGCUGGCGGCAUGGAUUAGGCAUGCAAGUCGAACGAUGAAGCCUAGCUUGCUAGGUGAAUUAGUGGCGAAAGGGUGAGUAACGCGUGAGCAACCUGCCCUCAAGAUUGGGACAACACCUGGAAACGGGUGCUAAUACCGAAUGUGCUUAUAAUGGUGAUGCUAUAAUAAGUAAAAAUUUAUUGCUUGAGGAUGGGCUCGCGUUCCAUUAGCUAGUUGGUAAGGUAACGGCUUACCAAGGCAACGAUGGAUAGCUGGUCUGAGAGGAUGACCAGCCACACUGGGACUGAGAUACUGCCCAG
This 306-nucleotide ribosomal RNA is filed under the name uncultured bacterium. RNAcentral's name for it is "bacterial SSU rRNA". It matches the Rfam family "Bacterial small subunit ribosomal RNA", at positions 29 to 334 of the family's 1533-position model. The record is from RNAcentral.